RNAcentral lists this ribosomal RNA (253 nucleotides) under uncultured bacterium. Its description in RNAcentral is "partial 16S ribosomal RNA". It matches the Rfam family "Bacterial small subunit ribosomal RNA", at positions 524 to 776 of the family's 1533-position model. The record is from RNAcentral.
GACAGAGGGUGCAAACGUUGCUCGGAAUCAUUGGGCGUAAAGCGCGUGUAGGCGGCUCGAUAAGUCCGUUCUGAAAGUCCAGGGCUCAACCCUGGGAUGCGGAUGGAUACUGUCGAGCUCGAGUCCGGAAGAGGCGAGUGGAAUUCCUGGUGUAGCGGUGAAAUGCGCAGAUAUCAGGAGGAACACCAAUGGCGAAGGCAGCUCGCUGGGACGUGACUGACGCUGAGACGCGAAAGCGUGGGGAGCAAACAGG